This 240-nucleotide ribosomal RNA is filed under the name Triticum aestivum (bread wheat). RNAcentral describes it as "partial small subunit ribosomal RNA". The record is from RNAcentral. Lineage: Eukaryota; Viridiplantae; Streptophyta; Magnoliopsida; Poales; Poaceae.
UUCAUUGAGUUGGCAUUGCUACUACCGGUAGCGACGGAAACAGUUGAAAGGGCCUUCUCAUCAAUGAAAAUCAUCAAGACUAAGUUGCGCAGCAAGAUGACCGAUGGUUGGCUGAAUGACUUGAUGGUUUGUUAUAUUGAGCGAGAGAUCUUCAAAAGUAUUGAUCUUGGUAAAAUUAAGGAAUAUUUUCAGAAUGAGGGUAGGGCAUUGCCAUUGCCUGGGUCUUCUAGACGCCAUUGA